RNAcentral lists this ribosomal RNA (253 nucleotides) under uncultured bacterium. Its description in RNAcentral is "partial 16S ribosomal RNA". It matches the Rfam family "Bacterial small subunit ribosomal RNA", at positions 524 to 776 of the family's 1533-position model. The record is from RNAcentral.
UACAGAGGGUGCGAGCGUUAAUCGGAAUUACUGGGCGUAAAGCGCGCGUAGGCGGCUUUGCAAGUCGGGUGUGAAAUCCCCAGGCCUAACCUGGGAACUGCAUUCGAGACUGCAUGGCUAGAGUAUCGGAGAGGGAAGUGGAAUUUCAGGUGUAGCGGUGAAAUGCGUAGAGAUGUGGAGGAACACCAGUGGCGAAGGCGGUUCUCUGGGACGGUACUGACGCUGAGACGCGAAAGCGUGGGGAGCGAACAGG